UCUUUAUAGCUUGCUAUAAAGAAUAGUUAGUGGCAGACGGGUGAGUAAUGCAUAGGAAUCUACCUAGUAGUCUGGGAUCGCCACUAGAAAUGGUGGGUAAUACUGUAUAAUCCCUGCGGGGGAAAGAUUUAUCGCUAUUAGAUGAGCCUAUGUUAGAUUAGCUAGUUGGUAGGGUAAAGGCCUACCAAGGCGAUGAUCUAUAGCUGGUCUGAGAGGAUGAUCAGCCACACUGGAACUGAGAUACGGUCCAGACUCCUACGGGAGGCAGCAGUGGGGAAUAUUGGACAAUGGGCGCAAGCCUGAUCCAGCUAUGCCGCGUGAGUGAGGAAGGCCUUAGGGUUGUAAAACUCUUUCAGUAGGGAAGAUAAUGACGGUACCUACAGAAGAAGUCCCGGCAAACUCCGUGCCAGCAGCCGCGGUAAUACGGAGGGGGCAAGCGUUGUUUCGGAAUUAUUGGGCGUAAAAGGGCAUGUAGGCGGUUCGGUAAGUUAAAGGUGAAAUGCCAGGGCUUAACCCUGGAGCUGCUUU
This 528-nucleotide ribosomal RNA is filed under the name Anaplasma phagocytophilum. RNAcentral describes it as "bacterial SSU rRNA". It matches the Rfam family "Bacterial small subunit ribosomal RNA", at positions 70 to 627 of the family's 1533-position model. Lineage: Bacteria; Pseudomonadati; Pseudomonadota; Alphaproteobacteria; Rickettsiales; Anaplasmataceae. The record is from RNAcentral.